AAGUCCAGGGCCAAUUAAAACCAAUGGGGGAUUUGCACUCCGAGGACUGGACU
RNAcentral lists this transfer RNA (53 nucleotides) under Trioceros montium. RNAcentral describes it as "tRNA-Cys". Lineage: Eukaryota; Metazoa; Chordata; Lepidosauria; Squamata; Chamaeleonidae. The record is from RNAcentral.